GUCAGCAGCCAUAUCAACCCUGCAACUCACAACUGGCAGCCCACUGAAGCUCAGCAGGUGUGAGCCUGGUCUGUACCUGGAUGGAGACCUCCUGGGAAAAACUAAGGUUGCUGCUGGAA
This 119-nucleotide ribosomal RNA is filed under the name Lepisosteus oculatus (spotted gar). The record is from RNAcentral. Lineage: Eukaryota; Metazoa; Chordata; Actinopteri; Semionotiformes; Lepisosteidae.